CUUAUAUAUGAACGGUCAGCUUCGGCUGGCUAUGGCGAUAAACGGUCGGCGUAAUAAACCAUUCGGACCCGGGGGCGGUACCCGGCGGCUCCACCAGGUUUCAGUCGUAGGCGGCAUGACUCUUGCUGCAAAAACGUUGGGUCUUGCGACAGAAUUCGAGACCGGCUGAAACGUGGCGGGGGCCGAAAUAGGAUCGACGAGGGUGUAAAGGUCGUACUUUCGCUCGGCAUGGUAUCCGCCGUUAUCGGGCCAAACCUUAUAGUUGCCAACGACAACUAUGCGGAGGCACGUCUCGCUGCGUAAUGCGGCGCGAUAGCCUAAAUUAAAGCCCUAGCCUCCUCGCAGAGGUUAGGCGCGGUUUCGGAGGGCACCGGGCAACAGAAGCCCUCCACUU
Molecule: transfer-messenger RNA, 394 nt
Filed under: Methyloceanibacter sp.
Lineage: Bacteria; Pseudomonadati; Pseudomonadota; Alphaproteobacteria; Hyphomicrobiales; Hyphomicrobiaceae
Rfam family: Alphaproteobacteria transfer-messenger RNA
About the family: Bacterial tmRNA, also known as 10Sa RNA or SsrA, is named for its dual tRNA and mRNA-like properties.
Source: RNAcentral